GCACUGAUUUGGCCUGGAAGGUUCAGGAUAAUCACCUGAGCUGUGAAGCCAGCUGCUUCCACCGGUGGGAUCGGUAGAGCAC
This is a long non-coding RNA of Lynx canadensis (Canada lynx), 82 nucleotides long. RefSeq lists it as uncharacterized. The record is from RefSeq and is a predicted model, not a curated record. NCBI's taxonomy places the organism in Eukaryota, Metazoa, Chordata, Mammalia, Carnivora, Felidae. The transcript is spliced from 3 exons.